AGAGUUUGAUCAUGGCUCAGGACGAACGCUGGCGGCGUGCCUAAUACAUGCAAGUCGAGCGGAUUGAUGGGAGCUUGCUCCCAUCAGUCAGCGGCGGACGGGUGAGUAACACGUGGGUAACCUGCCUGUAAGACUGGGAUAACUCCGGGAAACCGGGGCUAAUACCGGAUAACUCAUUUCCUCGCAUGAGGAAAUGUUGAAAGGUGGCUUUUAGCUAUCACUUACAGAUGGACCCGCGGCGCAUUAGCUAGUUGGUGAGGUAACGGCUCACCAAGGCGACGAUGCGUAGCCGACCUGAGAGGGUGAUCGGCCACACUGGGACUGAGACACGGCCCAGACUCCUACGGGAGGCAGCAGUAGGGAAUCUUCCGCAAUGGACGAAAGUCUGACGGAGCAACGCCGCGUGAGUGAUGAAGGUUUUCGGAUCGUAAAACUCUGUUGUCAGGGAAGAACAAGUACCGGAGUAACUGCCGGUACCUUGACGGUACCUGACCAGAAAGCCACGGCUAACUACGUGCCAGCAGCCGCGGUAAUACGUAGGUGGCAAGCGUUGUCCGGAAUUAUUGGGCGUAAAGCGUGCGCAGGCGGUUCCUUAAGUCUGAUGUGAAAGCCCCCGGCUCAACCGGGGAGGGUCAUUG
This 638-nucleotide ribosomal RNA is filed under the name uncultured marine bacterium. Its description in RNAcentral is "bacterial SSU rRNA". It matches the Rfam family "Bacterial small subunit ribosomal RNA", at positions 8 to 628 of the family's 1533-position model. The record is from RNAcentral.